ACCCGGGUGGUGGAAUUGGUAGACACAGGGGAUUUAAAAUCCCUUAGCCUUGGGCUGUACGAGUUCAAAUCUCGUCUCGGGUAUCA
This 86-nucleotide transfer RNA is filed under the name Candidatus Moranella endobia PCIT. Its description in RNAcentral is "tRNA-Leu". It matches the Rfam family "tRNA". Rfam says of the family: Transfer RNA (tRNA) molecules are approximately 80 nucleotides in length. Their secondary structure includes four short double-helical elements and three loops (D, anti-codon, and T loops). Further hydrogen bonds mediate the characteristic L-shaped molecular structure. tRNAs have two regions of fundamental functional importance: the anti-codon, which is responsible for specific mRNA codon recognition, and the 3' end, to which the tRNAs corresponding amino acid is attached (by aminoacyl-tRNA synthetases). tRNAs cope with the degeneracy of the genetic code in two manners: having more than one tRNA (with a specific anti-codon) for a particular amino acid; and 'wobble' base-pairing, i.e. permitting non-standard base-pairing at the 3rd anti-codon position. Lineage: Bacteria; Pseudomonadati; Pseudomonadota; Gammaproteobacteria; Enterobacterales; Enterobacteriaceae. The record is from RNAcentral.